RNAcentral lists this unclassified non-coding RNA (299 nucleotides) under uncultured Inocybe. Its description in RNAcentral is "sequence contains 5.8S rRNA gene". The stretch from base 1 to 53 matches the Rfam family "5.8S ribosomal RNA", at positions 102 to 154 of the family's 154-position model. Lineage: Eukaryota; Fungi; Basidiomycota; Agaricomycetes; Agaricales; Cortinariaceae. The record is from RNAcentral.
GAACGCACCUUGCGCUCCUUGGUAUUCCGAGGAGCAUGCCUGUUUGAGUGUCAUUUAACUUCUCAACCACACUUGAUUUGUGUGGCUUUGGAUAUGGGGGUUUCUGCGGGCUUUCUUGUGUGAAAGAAGGUCGGCUCCCCUGAAAUGCAUUAGUGGUAUCUGAGCUACUACUAUAGGUGUGAUAAUUAUCUAUGCCUCUUGGUAUACUGCAUGAACAGAUUGCGCUGCUUCCAACUUGUACACCCUUUGGUGUUUGACAAAUUUGACCUCAAAUCAGGUAGGACUACCCGCUGAACUUA